AGUGAACGCUGGCGGUAGGCCUAACACAUGCCAGUCGAACGGCAGCACAGUAAGAGCUUGCUCUUACGGGUGGCGAGUGGCGGACGGGUGAGGAAUACUUCGGAAUCUACUUUUUCGUGGGGGAUAACGUAGGGAAACUUACGCUAAUACCGCAUACGACCUACGGGUGAAAGCAGGGGAUCUUCGGACCUUGCGCGAUUGAAUGAGCCGAUGUCGGAUUAGCUAGUUGGCGGGGUAAAGGCCCACCAAGGCGACGAUCCGUAGCUGGUCUGAGAGGAUGAUCAGCCACACUGGAACUGAGACACGGUCCAGACUCCUACGGGAGGCAGCAGUGGGGAAUAUUGGACAAUGGGCGCAAGCCUGAUCCAGCCAUACCGCGUGGGUGAAGAAGGCCUUCGGGUUGUAAAGCCCUUUUGUUGGGAAAGAAAAGCAGCAGGUUAAUACCCCGCUGUUCUGACGGUACCCAAAGAAUAAGCACCGGCUAACUUCGUG
This 492-nucleotide ribosomal RNA is filed under the name uncultured bacterium. Its description in RNAcentral is "partial 16S ribosomal RNA". It matches the Rfam family "Bacterial small subunit ribosomal RNA", at positions 29 to 507 of the family's 1533-position model. The record is from RNAcentral.